Molecule: long non-coding RNA, 199 nt
Filed under: Lathyrus oleraceus (garden pea)
Lineage: Eukaryota; Viridiplantae; Streptophyta; Magnoliopsida; Fabales; Fabaceae
Description: Pisum sativum (pea) long non-coding RNA (PSAT_LNC039979)
Source: RNAcentral
GUGUUAGGUUGAGGUUGUCUAGGAAAUGAUCCUUAUGGUGUAGCUUGAGCAGCUUGUUGUUGAGCCACUUUAGAGAUCUGGGUCUCAAGCAUCUUAUUGUGGGCUACCACAAAAUCGACCUUGGUGCCUAAUUGUGUAACCAACUCAUUUAUAUGAACGUUUUGGUUCAUGAAUUCUUUAUUUUGUUGAGUUUGAGCUG